AUAUUUUAGUAUACGAGGUACAAAAGUUUUUGAUACUUUUAGAAAUAGUUUGAUUCUAUUAAAUAUAAC
RNAcentral lists this transfer RNA (69 nucleotides) under Aleocharinae sp. 10 ACP-2013. RNAcentral's name for it is "tRNA-Gln". The record is from RNAcentral. Lineage: Eukaryota; Metazoa; Arthropoda; Insecta; Coleoptera; Staphylinidae.